CAUGAGGAGGAGUCCCUCAGCCCUGAUUGCAAGAGGGCGCAGGCCAGGCUGAGGGAUCCCACUGGUGCAUG
RNAcentral lists this microRNA precursor (71 nucleotides) under Myotis davidii. RNAcentral describes it as "mir-9193 microRNA precursor family". It matches the Rfam family "mir-9193 microRNA precursor family". Lineage: Eukaryota; Metazoa; Chordata; Mammalia; Chiroptera; Vespertilionidae. The record is from Rfam by way of RNAcentral.